UAGGGAAUCUUCCGCAAUGGGCGAAAGCCUGACGGAGCAACGCCGCGUGAGUGAUGAAGGUCUUCGGAUCGUAAAACUCUGUUACUAGGGAAGAACAAAUGUGUAAGUAACUAUGCACGUCUUGACGGUACCUAAUCAGAAAGCCACGGCUAACUACGUGCCAGCAGCCGCGGUAAUACGUAGGUGGCAAGCGUUAUCCGGAAUUAUUGGGCGUAAAGCGCGCGUAGGCGGUUUUUUAAGUCUGAUGUGAAAGCCCACGGCUCAACCGUGGAGGGUCAUUGGAAACUGGAAAACUUGAGUGCAGAAGAGGAAAGUGGAAUUCCAUGUGUAGCGGUGAAAUGCGCAGAGAUAUGGAGGAACACCAGUGGCGAAGGCGACUUUCUGGUCUGUAACUGACGCUGAUGUGCGAAAGCGUGGGGAUCAAACAGG
Molecule: ribosomal RNA, 429 nt
Filed under: Actinomycetes bacterium
Lineage: Bacteria; Bacillati; Actinomycetota; Actinomycetes
Description: Actinobacteria bacterium partial 16S ribosomal RNA
Rfam family: Bacterial small subunit ribosomal RNA
Source: RNAcentral